CAACCGGGGGAUUAGGGUUCGAUUCCGGAGAGGGAGCCUGAUAAACGGCUACCACUUCUACGGAAGGCAGCAGGCGCGAAAAUUAUCCAAUCCUGACUCAGGGAGGUAGUGAAAUAAAUAAUGAACUGGGAUUAUUUUAUCCUGGGAUUACAAUGGGCUUGAUUUGCAAACUUGAUUAGCGAGGAACAAUUGGAGGGCAAGUCUGGUGCCAGCAGCCGCGGUAAUUCCAGCUCCAAUAGUGUAUAUUAACGUUCCUGCAGUUAUUCGAUGCUCGUAGUUGGAUUUCUGGGGGUGGAGACAGGAGGGUGGCUAUGGCCACCGCCAGUCUUUUCCCUCGUCCGCCUGUUAACGUUGACUGAGAUUGAGUUCUCAGCAGCGGGCUCAGGCACUUUGAUAUUAUUUACCCUUUUUUGUAAAUAUGUUACUCAAUUUUGCAGGAUACUAAUCAUGUACACUUGAGUCAACUUACUUAUUCUUUUUGAGCAAAUUAUAGUGUUUCAGGCAGGCGUGCGCCGGAAUACAUUAGCAUGGAAUAAUCUUACGGACCGUGUGUGCUGCUCCGGCAGCAUCUCCUUAUUUGUUGGUUUCUUUAAGGACACGGAAUGAUUAAUAGGGAUAGUUGAGGUUUUAUAUCUCACCAGGGGAGGCAUUAGUAUUUAAUUUCCAGAGGUGAAAUUCUUUGAAAUUUGUAAAGACUAACUUAUGCGAAAGCAUUUUUCUUUUCUUUUACUGCCAAGAAUGUUUUUAUUUUAUUUGUUUAUCGAACAGAACGAAAGUUAGGGGAUCAAAGACGAUCAGAUACCGUCCUAGUCUUAACCAUAAACGUUGCCGACUAGGGAUCGGAGGGCGUGCACAUUCCGCCUUCGGCACCUUACGAGAAAUCAUAAGUAUUUUGGGUUCUGGGGGUAGUAUGGUCGCAAGGCUGAAACUUAAAGGAAUUGACGGAAGGGCACCACCAGGAGUGGAGCUUGCGGCUCAAUUUGACUCAACACGGGAAAUCUUACCAGGUCCAGACAUAGGAAGGAAAU
Molecule: ribosomal RNA, 1028 nt
Filed under: Euplotes sp. bTTo1
Lineage: Eukaryota; Ciliophora; Spirotrichea; Euplotida; Euplotidae
Description: SSU rRNA
Rfam family: Eukaryotic small subunit ribosomal RNA
Source: RNAcentral